GACGAACGCUGGCGGCGUGGAUUAGGCAUGCAAGUCGAACGGUAUCAUCCUUUCGGGGGUGAGAGAGUGGCGAACUGGUGAGUAACACGUAGGUUAUCUACCCUCAAGACGGGGACAACCCAGGGAAACUUGGGCUAAUACCGGAUGUGAGCAACUUUUAGUUGUUUGAAAGGUGGCGUAAGCUGUCGCUUGGGGAUGAGCCUGCGUCCUAUUAGUUAGUUGGUGAGGUAACGGCUCACCUAGGCAAUGAUAGGUAGGCGGCCUUAACGGGUGGUCGCCCACACUGGGAUUGAGAUACGGCCCAGACUCCUACGGGAGGCAGCAGUCGAGAAUAGUCUACAAUGGUCGGAAGACUGAUAGUGCGACGCCGCGUGAACGAUGAAUCCCUUCGGGGGUGUAAAAGUUCUUUUAUAUGUGAGCAGUGCUUCUUAUAUUAACAGUAUGGGGAGAGAGAUAUUAGCAUAUGAAUAAGCAAACGGCUAAACUCCGUGCCAGCAGCCGCGGUAAUA
This 509-nucleotide ribosomal RNA is filed under the name uncultured bacterium. Its description in RNAcentral is "bacterial SSU rRNA". It matches the Rfam family "Bacterial small subunit ribosomal RNA", at positions 28 to 525 of the family's 1533-position model. The record is from RNAcentral.